Molecule: ribosomal RNA, 182 nt
Filed under: uncultured bacterium
Lineage: Bacteria
Description: partial 16S ribosomal RNA
Rfam family: Bacterial small subunit ribosomal RNA
Source: RNAcentral
CCAUGAAGCUGGAAUUGCUGUAAUGGCAGGUCAGCAUACUGCCGUGAAUACGUUCCCGGGCCCUUGUACACACCGCCCGUCACACCAUGAGAGUUGGGAAUACCCGAAGCCUGUGAGCUAACAUAACGAGGCAGCAGUCGAAGGUAGAAUCAAUGAUUGGGGUGAAGUCGUAACAAGGUAAC